RNAcentral lists this ribosomal RNA (528 nucleotides) under Salmonella enterica subsp. enterica serovar Enteritidis. Its description in RNAcentral is "partial 23S ribosomal RNA". It matches the Rfam family "Bacterial large subunit ribosomal RNA", at positions 1 to 559 of the family's 2925-position model. The record is from RNAcentral. Lineage: Bacteria; Pseudomonadati; Pseudomonadota; Gammaproteobacteria; Enterobacterales; Enterobacteriaceae.
GGGUUGUGAGGUUAAGCGACUAAGCGUACACGGUGGAUGCCCUGGCAGUCAGAGGCGAUGAAGGGCGUACUAAUCUGCGAUAAGCGCCGGUAAGGUGAUAUGAACCGUUAUAACCGGCGAUACCCGAAUGGGGAAACCCAGUGUGACUCGUCACACUAUCAUUAACUGAAUCCAUAGGUUAAUGAGGCGAACCGGGGGAACUGAAACAUCUAAGUACCCCGAGGAAAAGAAAUCAACCGAGAUUCCCCCAGUAGCGGCGAGCGAACGGGGAGGAGCCCAGAGCCUGAAUCAGCAUGUGUGUUAGUGGAAGCGUCUGGAAAGGCGCGCGAUACAGGGUGACAGCCCCGUACACAAAAGCGCAUGUGCUGUGAGCUCGAUGAGUAGGGCGGGACACGUGGUAUCCUGUCUGAAUAUGGGGGGACCAUCCUCCAAGGCUAAAUACUCCUGACUGACCGAUAGUGAACCAGUACCGUGAGGGAAAGGCGAAAAGAACCCCGGCGAGGGGAGUGAAAAAGAACCUGAAACCGU